UUUAGGCCAACUAAAAUUAAUUAGUAGAUUUUCAUCCAAAUUUUUGAAAAACAUGGGGCGGGUGGGAGGAUUUUAUUUUUUAAAUUUUAUUUCAUAUGAAACCCUUGUCACAAGUUCUUCAUACCGCGGGGUAUAUGCUAGUGGAAAACAAGCUUGUAUAAUGUAUAUACAUGUUGUAUAAGGAAUCCUACACUAUUUUUUAAACUCUUAAAUAAAAAUCCCUGAUUGGCAACCACUGUUAUACAUGUAAUUGCCGCUUUAGAAACCUAUUUAU
This 274-nucleotide long non-coding RNA is filed under the name Mytilus galloprovincialis (Mediterranean mussel). Lineage: Eukaryota; Metazoa; Mollusca; Bivalvia; Mytilida; Mytilidae. The record is from RNAcentral.